This 623-nucleotide ribosomal RNA is filed under the name uncultured bacterium. RNAcentral describes it as "bacterial SSU rRNA". It matches the Rfam family "Bacterial small subunit ribosomal RNA", at positions 1 to 927 of the family's 1533-position model. The record is from RNAcentral.
GGANCUUAAGGUUGGUUUCUUAGGUCUCAACAAUCGGCCGUCGUUAAGUACAGCCUAACACAUGCAAGUCGAACGGCAGCACAGGAGAGCUUGCUCUCUGGGUGGCGAGUGGCGGACGGGUGAGGAAUACAUCGGAAUCUACUCUGUCGUGGGGGAUAACGUAGGGAAACUUACGCUAAUACCGCAUACGACCUACGGGUGAAAGCAGGGGAUCUUCGGACCUUGCGCGAUUGAAUGAGCCGAUGUCGGAUUAGCUAGUUGGCGGGGUAAAGGCCCACCAAGGCGACGAUCCGUAGCUGGUCUGAGAGGAUGAUCAGCCACACUGGAACUGAGACACGGUCCAGACUCCUACGGGAGGCAGCAGUGGGGGAAUAUUGGACAAUUGGGCGCAAGCCUGAUCCAGCCAUACCGCGUGGGUGAAGAAGGCCUUCGGGUUUGUAAAGCCCUUUUGUUGGGAAAGACAUCCAGCCGGGCUAAUACCUGGUUUGGGGAUGACGGGUACCCAAAGAAUUAGCACACCGAGGGCUUAAAACCUACGUUGGCCAACAAGACCNCGGCAGGUAAUUACACGAAAGGGGUGCACAAGGCGGUUAAACUCCGGAAAUUUAACCGGGGNCCGCUUA